AUUGAACGCUGGCGGCAUGCCUUACACAUGCUAGUCGAACGGCAGCAUGAUCUAGCUUGCUAGAUUGAUGGCGAGUGGCGAACGGGUGAGUAAUACAUCGGAACGUGCCCUGUAGUGGGGGAUAACUAGUCGAAAGAUUAGCUAAUACCGCAUACGACCUGAGGGUGAAAGUGGGGGACCGCAAGGCCUCAUGCUAUAGGAGCGGCCGAUGUCUGAUUAGCUAGUUGGUGAGGUAAAGGCUCACCAAGGCGACGAUCAGUAGCUGGUCUGAGAGGACGAUCAGCCACACUGGGACUGAGACACGGCCCAGACUCCUACGGGAGGCAGCAGUGGGGAAUUUUGGACAAUGGGCGAAAGCCUGAUCCAGCAAUGCCGCGUGUGUGAAGAAGGCCUUCGGGUUGUAAAGCACUUUUGUCCGGAAAGAAAUGGCUCUGGUUAAUACCUGGGGUCGAUGACGGUACCGGAAGAAUAAGGACCGGCUAACUACGUG
RNAcentral lists this ribosomal RNA (490 nucleotides) under uncultured bacterium. RNAcentral describes it as "partial 16S ribosomal RNA". It matches the Rfam family "Bacterial small subunit ribosomal RNA", at positions 30 to 507 of the family's 1533-position model. The record is from RNAcentral.